GAUGUAGCUCAGUGGUAGAGUGUGCUUUGUAUGUGCAAGGCCCUGAGUUCAAUCCCCAGCAUC
Molecule: transfer RNA, 63 nt
Filed under: Cavia porcellus (domestic guinea pig)
Lineage: Eukaryota; Metazoa; Chordata; Mammalia; Rodentia; Caviidae
Rfam family: tRNA
About the family: Transfer RNA (tRNA) molecules are approximately 80 nucleotides in length. Their secondary structure includes four short double-helical elements and three loops (D, anti-codon, and T loops).
Source: Rfam by way of RNAcentral